Hevea brasiliensis (rubber tree) is the source of this 1909-nucleotide RNA transcript. It is a transcript of the gene named violaxanthin de-epoxidase, chloroplastic-like, with no coding region annotated. The record is from RefSeq and is a predicted model, not a curated record. The transcript has 6 exons. NCBI's taxonomy places the organism in Eukaryota, Viridiplantae, Streptophyta, Magnoliopsida, Malpighiales, Euphorbiaceae.
UACUUGAAUGUACGUUACAGUUCUAGAUUCCACAGGAUCUUUUUUCGUUUUUUUUUGGGUUCAAUGAUCGUUAUCCAAGUUCAGUCCCUUCAAAACCCGGCGCUCUUUUCGCUCUCUAGCUUUGUUUGCUUCUUGUCUGUGCAUCAACUACUUUACCUGUCAUGAAAACCACCAUCUCCUCCUUUAGAUUGUAAUUGGAAGUUUAAGGAAGAAGUAUGGCGUUGGCCGCAAACUCAGUCUGUUUAUCUCAUGAAGAAAGUUUCAGUAAUUCAUCAUACAUCGGAUUAGGAAUUGCAAGUGAUGAAAGAUUUCACGGGAUAAAGGGACUUCAUUUUCACAGUAUAGUUGUGUUGAAAUUUUGACCCAAUAGCAGAAAAUCAAGAUAUGUUCAAUUGGUAAGAACUCCUAGGAAUUAUCAUGGACUUGAAGUUUGAUGCUCACAUCGAUUCCUAGGCUGGACAAAGAAGUUCUCCUCAUUGUGUGCCACUGGUGCAAGUUUAACUAAGGCAAAAGAAGUGCCUAUUUUUCUAAUGGUGAGUGUAGCCAACGACCUAAGAGAAAGAAGCUACUUUCAGUUCUUGAAAGUUGCCAGCAUACUAGCAUGCGCAUUAUUGGUCAUUCCAUCAGCUGAUGCUGUUGAUGCCCUGAAAACGUAUACCUGCUUAUUGAAGGAGUGCAGGUUAGAAUUGGCUAAGUGCAUUGCAAACCCAGCAUGUGCCGCCAAUAUCGCUUGCCUUCAGACAUGCAAUAACUGGCCUGAUGAGACUGAAUGCCAGAUCGAAUGUGGGGACCUGUUCGAAAAUAGUGUUGUUGACGAACUCAAUGAGUGUGCAGUCUCAAGAAAGAAGUGCGUACCUCGGAAAUCUGAUGUCGGGGAAUUUCCUGUCCCUGAUCCAGCUGUUCUGGUCAAGAGCUUUAAUAUCGCAGUCGCAGAUUUUAAUGGGAAGUGGUAUAUUACCAGUGGCUUAAAUCCUACCUUUGAUACUUUUGACUGCCAAUUGCAUGAAUUCCAUACAGAAUCUAAUAAACUUGUGGGGAAUUUAUCAUGGAGAAUACGGACUCCAGAUAGUGGCUUCUUCACUUGAUCAACUGUGCAGAGGUUUGUUCAAGAUCCCAUGCAGCCUGGAAUACUCUACAAUCACGAUAAUGAGUACCUUCACUAUCAAGACAAUUGGUAUGACAUCUGAUAAAAUGCACGGACCUUCAUGACUCAUGACAUGCAACCCCAGCAACACCUUGUCAACAAAGAAUAACGAAGCUACUUGACUAUCUUAAUCCAGGCAGCCUUGUCGAUAGUCUUUAACUAGUUAUAAAAUAAUCAACCGAGUGAUUUUUCUCCUGCAGCUUUGAGUACCAUGAUUGUUCAAUUUGCUGAACUAGGCCGGAACAAUUAACCAGUAUCAUAUAUGGAUCCAGGUAUAUUCUUUCAUCCAAUGUAGAAAAUAAGAACAAUGAUUACAUAUUUGUCUACUACCAGGACAGGAAUGAUGCUUGGGAGGUACCUGAACUGGAAAGAGCAGCUAAAAGCAUAGGACGAGAUUUCAACAAGUUUAUUAGAACAGAUAAUACUUGUGGGCCUGAACCUCCACUUGUUGAGAGACUGGAGAAGACAAUAGAGGAAGGAGGGGAAGGUAGAGAAGGUGGGGAAGACUGAAAUGACAUUGUUUCAGAGAUUAGCCGAAGGGUUUAAAGUGCUCCAGCAAGAUGAGGAAAUUUUCCUGAGAGGUUUAAGUAGAGAAGAGGUGGAAUAUUAAAGGGUCUAAAAAUGAAAACUAGUGAGGUGGAAGAACUCUUUGGACGAGCACUGCCAUUAAGGGAAUUAAGAUAGAAUUCAUCUUUGGAAAUUAUUUUGCAUUUUUGCUUUUCAGUCUCCCAUAAAAAGAAAUCCAUAAUUCAGUUGUUUUUUUCA